This 404-nucleotide ribosomal RNA is filed under the name uncultured bacterium. RNAcentral describes it as "bacterial SSU rRNA". It matches the Rfam family "Bacterial small subunit ribosomal RNA", at positions 29 to 422 of the family's 1533-position model. The record is from RNAcentral.
AAUCAACGCUGGCGGCGUGCCUAACACAUGCAAGUCGAGCGCGAAAGCGGGGCAACCCGCAAGUAGAGCGGCGAACGGGUGAGUAACGCGUGGGUGAUCUACCUCCGAGUGGGGAACAACAUCGGGAAACUGGUGCUAAUACCGCAUGACAUCCUCAGGUCACACUGAGGAUCAAAGCCGGGGACCGUAAGGCCUGGCGCUUGGAGAGGAGCCCGCGUCCGAUUAGCAGUUGGCGGGGUAACGGCCCACCAAGGCGACGAUCGGUAGCCGGCCUGAGAGGGCGGACGGCCACACUGGGACUGCGACACGGCCCAGACUCCUACGGGAGGCAGCAGUGGGGUAAUUUUUCGCAAUGGGCGCAAGCCUGACGAAGCAACGCCGCGUGGGGAGUGAAGGUCUUCGGA